AAUACUGGUUUUAUGGUAUAGCGGGUAUCGGUGCACAUACGUAAUUAAGGAUACGCUCACAUGUCUAUAGCGUGUAGUUAAACUUUCAUGAACUCCACUCCUGUUUGUUAGCGAAGGCUUUGUUAUUUAUUGUAGCGCUACCGACAAGUUUCGUGCAUUUCAUCCCAGGCGACUUUGUUGAGAUAAUUGAUUAAUUGUACUGAAAUUCAGAAAAUGACGACCUUCAUUUCAAAGGUUACGACAAUUCGGCCUGGCAUCAUCCGCAUAUUGGGGUGUAAUCCAGGCCCCAUGACCCUGCAGGGCACCAACACCUACCUCAUCGGUACAGGUACAAAGCGUGUUCUGUUGGAUGUAGGGGAAGCAAGAAAUGCUGAGUAUAUCACAUCCCUGGAGUCUGUCCUGCAGCAGCAGAACACCACCAUAAACCAGAUAGUCAUCUCUCAUUGGCACCAUGACCACAUCGGAGGUCUAAAAGAUGUCCUGAAAUGUCUGCCUGAGCCAGUGAGUGUGUACAAGAUUCCAAGAUUUGACAAAGAUGAUGAUCCCAUGCUAAAUUUGACAACCUACAUCCCUCUCAAACAUCUAGAUGAAAUCAAGACACAAGAAGCUACCCUCAGAGUCAUCAACAGUGUGAAAGAUGUGCAGUAUACGGCGUCACUUAGAGAAACAUGGAUUCCAAGAGGACUAGAGGAAGCCAGGGUAACAAAGAGGAAAUUAUAUGGAAUUGCCAAUUUUCCAAAUGUGAUUGGCAUCAUCGAUGGAACACACAUCCCGAUUGCUGCCCCACCAGUUGAUGAAGAACUCUACAUCAAUAGAAAGAAUUUCCAUUCACUGAACAUAAAAGUUGUGUGUAAUGCAGACUACAUUUUUCAAGACUAUUGCUGCCGUUUCCCUGGAAGCACAUAUGAUUAAUUUGUAUGGGAGAACAGCAUCCUCAAAAGGAGAUUCCAGCAGGGUGAAUUCGGAGAUGUCUUUCUUCUUGGUGACAGUGGGUACCCUGUCAACAUUCACUUGAUGACACCAAUUGGAAAGCCAGCUAAUGCUGGCGAACAAAGAUUCAACAUCAGCCUGAAGAAAACACGUGUCGUGGUUGAGUAGGCAAUUGGCAUUUGGAAGUCACUCUUCAAGUGUGUCCAUCAUAAAGGUGGCACACUUUGUUAUAGUCCCUUGAAGUGUGGAAAGAUUGCUGCAGCAACUAUGUUGCUUCACAAUUUCUGCAGAAAGAGGAAUCUUCCACUCCUGGAUGAAGUAGUAGUCAACCCUGAUGACAUAGAUGAACCUGUGUUUGUUCCUGCAGCAGCUGGUGGUGGAGGAUGGGAUGCAAGGGCAAUAGCUGGGAAUGCAAUGAGAAGGCAAAUCAUUGCAUAACACUUCUCAUAGUCUGAAAAGGGGGGAUAUAGUUGUAUAAAGUAAGUUUUAGUGUGUUGAGCGAUGCUGGUUGUUCCACUGUUGAUGGUGCUUACUAUGUUCAUCAUUCUUGGGACAUAGGAUACCUUCUACAAAUAAGGUAAUGUUAAGAAUAUACAUGAUAGGUUGUUUAUUGCAGUUUACACUGCAUAUAUAAUUAAUUUUGUAAAUACAAAAGUAAAAAAAAUAGGUUCUCUAUUAUAAGUAACUGUAUAAUAUCACAUUAUUCAUUUGGUAUGUAUCAUAAUAGGUAACUAUAAUAUCACAUUAUUAAUUUGGUAUGUACUAUCUGAUAGACUAAUUACACAAAUUGUAAUGCAUAGCCAGUUACAAAAAUGUUUACCUGAUUUCUUGACCCAUUGCAAUAUUCAACUAAUGUUACUUGUACUUGAGUCACCACUCUAACCCAUUCUUGCAGCAACAUAUUGGCCAUAUAUUUAGUAGCUUUUCUUAAAUACUGCUUCAGUUUUUUGUCCUAGUGUUGUAUUUAGCUCACCAUUACCUUUCC
This 1915-nucleotide unclassified non-coding RNA is filed under the name Portunus trituberculatus (swimming crab). Its description in RNAcentral is "endoribonuclease LACTB2-like, transcript variant X2". Lineage: Eukaryota; Metazoa; Arthropoda; Malacostraca; Decapoda; Portunidae. The record is from RNAcentral.